Long non-coding RNA from Octopus sinensis (East Asian common octopus), 159 nucleotides. RefSeq lists it as uncharacterized. Lineage: Eukaryota; Metazoa; Mollusca; Cephalopoda; Octopoda; Octopodidae. The record is from RefSeq and is a predicted model, not a curated record. The transcript has 3 exons.
UUUGAGCAUUUAGCAUUCAGAUUACUCUGUCAAAUGUAAUGCUUAUUUAUUCACAAUGUUUUGAAUUAAUCAAGCAUUAUCUUGUAGCUUUGAGUUUUCGCUGAUGUGAUUGUCUACUUUUAGAAUAAUAUAGUAAGGUUGGAAUGAGAGGCUGAAUCU